Phacochoerus africanus (Common warthog) is the source of this 581-nucleotide long non-coding RNA. RefSeq lists it as uncharacterized. The record is from RefSeq and is a predicted model, not a curated record. NCBI's taxonomy places the organism in Eukaryota, Metazoa, Chordata, Mammalia, Artiodactyla, Suidae. The transcript has 3 exons.
AGACAGGCAUCUCGCUGCGUUUUCAAGAGCAUCAUUCCCUUCCUCAUGUGACUUUCUCUUUUAGGACCAACGUUUUUGGAAUGGGGCGGCAGUGAGCCCCAACAUCACUCUCCUGAGUCACAGUCUGGAGAGACUUGUGCUUUCUCACCUGGGCGAUUGCUGAAAAGGCCUGUGGAGGACACCCUAGCCCUCACUCAAGCUUUGACCCUCGGCCACACAGCUGGCUCUUGAUCAUCCAUCAGGCCUGAGUAUUAGCUGGACACAUGGUGUCCCAGUGAAAGACUACAGUUCCCAGACACCUUUGUGGAGACCAUGUGGCUUGUGGCCAUGCAACUAGAUUCCACCAAUGGGCUGUGAAUGGAAGGAACCUGUACCAUUUGGGGUCCUGCCCUUCGAAUGAUCUGAGGUAGGCUUUUCUUCCUUCUGGCUGGCUGGGAGAUGGAGAUAAUUGGGUCCACAAAUGGGAGAUGGAGAUAAUUGGGUCCACAAAUGGGAGAUGGAGAUAAUUGGGUCCACAAAUGGGAGAUGGAGAUAAUUAGGUCCACAGCAACUCAGGAUCCGAGCCAAAUCUGCCACCUACA